This 460-nucleotide ribosomal RNA is filed under the name uncultured bacterium. Its description in RNAcentral is "partial 16S ribosomal RNA". It matches the Rfam family "Bacterial small subunit ribosomal RNA", at positions 338 to 795 of the family's 1533-position model. The record is from RNAcentral.
CCUACGGGAGGCAGUAGUGAGGAAUAUUGGUCAAUGGCCGGAAGGCUGAACCAGCCAUGCCGCGUGAAGGUCAGUGCCCUAUGGGCGUUAAACUUCUUUUGUGCGGGAGCAAUAAUGGUCACGUGUGGCCAGACGAGAGUACCGUACGAAUAAGCAUCGGCUAACUCCGUGCCAGCAGCCGCGGUAAUACGGGGGAUGCAAGCGUUAUCCGGAUUUAUUGGGUUUAAAGGGUGCGUAGGCUGUGAGGUAAGUCAGCGGUGAAAUGCCCCCGCUCAACGGGGUGAAGUGCCAUUGAUACUGCCUGGCUGGAAUGCGGAUGCCGUGGGAGGAAUGUGUGGUGUAGCGGUGAAAUGCAUAGAUAUCACACAGAACACCGAUUGCGAAGGCAUCUCACGAAUCCGCGAUUGACGCUGAUGCACGAAAGCGUGGGUAUCAAACAGGAUUAGAUACCCGGGUAGUC